GGCUCUUCUUUCUCAGGAAGGUGAAGUGGACGUGACUCUCUUCUCAGCUGCUGGUGAACUUCUACAGAGCCUCCAUGGAGAGCAUCCUGUGACUCAGUGUGACGGUGUGAUAUGGCAGCUGCACAGCACAGGACAAGAGGAACUAGCCCUGGGGG
Long non-coding RNA from Melanotaenia boesemani (Boeseman's rainbowfish), 155 nucleotides. RefSeq lists it as uncharacterized. The transcript has 3 exons. The record is from RefSeq and is a predicted model, not a curated record. Lineage: Eukaryota; Metazoa; Chordata; Actinopteri; Atheriniformes; Melanotaeniidae.